This 420-nucleotide ribosomal RNA is filed under the name Arthrobacter sp. R2.b. Its description in RNAcentral is "bacterial SSU rRNA". It matches the Rfam family "Bacterial small subunit ribosomal RNA", at positions 82 to 515 of the family's 1533-position model. The record is from RNAcentral. Lineage: Bacteria; Bacillati; Actinomycetota; Actinomycetes; Micrococcales; Micrococcaceae.
GCACAGGUGAUUAGUGGCGAACGGGUGAGUAACACGUGAGUAACCUGCCCCUGACUCUGGGAUAAGCCCGGGAAACUGGGUCUAAUACUGGAUAUGCACCGUGAACCGCAUGGUUCUUGGUGGAAAGAUUUUUUGGUCAGGGAUGGACUCGCGGCCUAUCAGCUUGUUGGUGAGGUAAUGGCUCACCAAGGCGACGACGGGUAGCCGGCCUGAGAGGGUGACCGGCCACACUGGGACUGAGACACGGCCCAGACUCCUACGGGAGGCAGCAGUGGGGAAUAUUGCACAAUGGGCGAAAGCCUGAUGCAGCGACGCCGCGUGAGGGAUGACGGCCUUCGGGUUGUAAACCUCUUUCAGUAGGGAAGAAGCGAAAGUGACGGUACCUGCAGAAGAAGCGCCGGCUAACUACGUGCCAGCAGC